AUUUCUUCUAUUUAUCUAGAGUUUUUCAGUCUUUAAAGUCUUGGAUCGAUCAUCUUCACGCUCGUGCAACCGUAAUAUUGUGGAAUCGCGACGACUGUGGAACGUUUCUGGAGGACAAGUCACAAGUGCAGCAGCCUGCCUAUUUCGUCGAGGCAUACCGGUUCUUGCUGAGCUCCCGUUAGCGGUUUACUCAAGAUCCGUUUCCGGCUGAUAUUCGGUCUGACUGAAUCCAAC
Paramacrobiotus metropolitanus is the source of this 234-nucleotide long non-coding RNA. RefSeq lists it as uncharacterized. The record is from RefSeq and is a predicted model, not a curated record. Lineage: Eukaryota; Metazoa; Tardigrada; Eutardigrada; Parachela; Macrobiotidae. The transcript is spliced from 3 exons.